RNAcentral lists this unclassified non-coding RNA (306 nucleotides) under plant metagenome. Its description in RNAcentral is "partial contains 5.8S ribosomal RNA, internal transcribed spacer 2, and large subunit ribosomal RNA". The stretch from base 1 to 105 matches the Rfam family "5.8S ribosomal RNA", at positions 50 to 154 of the family's 154-position model. The record is from RNAcentral.
GAAAUGCGAUAAGUAAUGUGAAUUGCAGAAUUCAGUGAAUCAUCGAAUCUUUGAACGCACAUUGCGCCCGCCAGUAUUCUGGCGGGCAUGCCUGUCCGAGCGUCAUUUCAACCAUCAAGCCCCCGGGCUUGUGUUGGGGACCUGCGGCUGCCCGCAGGCCCUGAAAACCAGUGGCGGGCUCGCUGUCACACCGAGCGUAGUAGCAAUCACCUCGCUCAGGGCGUGCUGCGGGUUCCGGCCGUUAAACAGCCUUACAAAACCCAAGGUUGACCUCGGAUCGGGUAGGAAGACCCGCUGAACUUAAGC